UAAAUUGUAUAUAUUUUUAUUUUUUGAAAGUAUAUGAAAGUGAUACUUAAAAAUGUUAAAUAACAUAUAAAUCUAAAAAAGUUAGAAAAAUAGUGAAACCCUAUGGAGCAUUCUCAUGCCACUCUCGCCUCUUCACUAUCGACCGUCGCCGUCCACCGUUCUCACCGCCGUCCACCGUUCUCGUCACGGUUUGAAUUCUCAUUUCGUUCAACUUUCUCAUCACAGUUCUACGAUUUCACAUCUUCAUUUUCAGUGAAAACUUGCUCGCAGGAACCCUAAUCUAUUAUGUCGAAUCGCAGGUAGGAGAUUUGAAUUAGGUCAGUUGAAAUCGUGUUGACAUUGUAAUUGUUGUUCAAAAACUAGUUUUUAUGCUUCCUUUAGAUAUAAUUUAGAGUAGAUUCGGUUCAUGAACUUGUUACAGAGGAAUAACUGAGCAUGGAAAAGUAACCUUGCUAUCAUAUGUUAUUGAUUUGGUUCAUGAACUGAGCUUAUGAAAGAUUUAUAUUUAUUUAGUAUAAGUUUUUUUCUUUGUCAUGGACAGGUUUUAUUUCUAGAACUGAGGAAGAUUGAAAAACUUGAAGAAGAAAAUAUGCUUCAACGAAUGUUUGCCGGUGGUGCCAAAUGUCAAUUAAUGCCUUUUUGUAAACUUGAAUUACAUGCUAAUAUCGAAUUUUCCGACUAGACCUAAGGGUUUGAUUACUCUUGGUUUUUAAUAGUUACUAAUUUAUUGGUGCUGCUGGUUUAUAUAUGUAAAUUGCUAUUGUUUCUUGCAGAGUUUUGAGGCUUUGAAUCAGCGAGCAGUGGCUGUAGUUGUGGAUCCAAUUCAAAGUGUUAAAGGAAAAGUGGUGAUUGAUGCUUUUCGAUUGAUCAAUCCACAGACAAUGAUGCUCGGGCAAGAACCAAGGCAGACAACUUCCAAUCUGGGGCAUCUGAAUAAACCAUCUAUUCAGGUUUUCACCGAAACCGUUUUUCAUUUAUGUUGACAUGUCAUGGACAAAUAUCGAUCCUGCCGGUCUUGAUCUUCUUUCGGUACACAUAACUGUUUUUGAAUAGGUGCCUAAAUUACUUAACUCUUUUAUUCAUCUACUGAAAGUUUAUUUAUUAUGCCUGCUGUUGUGUUGGACAGAGAAUGCUUUGCCUGUACCCAAAUGGCAGGAUUUCAGCUAAUGAAACUCUUAACCAUCCAUAUCUUCAAUUUUGACCGCCCAAGGGCCUAUUCUCUCUUUCUUUCUACUUUUAACAGAACAAUCUUAUAGAAUCUUUGUCUUAAACAGUGUUUGAACAUCUAAAUCAUCAAGGUUCAAAAUUGUAGCUUGAGAAACUCCACUGAGAGAGCUCCAAACCUCAAUCUGUAGUAUUUAUUUAUUGAGUGAAUUACUUGAACUUUUAAUAAUAAUUAAGUAAUUUAUUUCUUUUUCCAGGCUGCAUAUUGUCAGGUUUGUUUCAUGAAUUCAGAGUGAAAGCAAAUGUGCUCUUGUGUAUGGUCAAAUGAACGAGCCACCUGGUUCUCGUGCCGGUGUUGGACUUACUGGACUCACUGUCGCUAAACACUUCCGUGAUGCUGAAGGACAUGAUGUGCUUCUUUUCAUCGACAACAUUUUCCGCUUUACUCAAGUAUGGACAACUUAUCCUGGGACCAGAAGUUGGAAGAAGCAAAGAAGGACGACAAGAUUUACUCAAGAUUACAUGUUCGAUGAAAGUGUUUGCCUCCUACUUCGGGCCAAGUGGUUCAAGCCUUUAGCUGUUGAAGAGCGUCCAGUUGUUGAAGAAGAUAUCUAUGAGAUAGAAGACUAUUAUUAUCAGUAUGAAGAAGCUGAUGAUGAUCUAGAUGACAAUGAGGCUUACUAUGGUGCUUCAGCAAAUGUCCGGCUUGGCAACCGUAGAUGGGGAGACAACAGUUUUGUAAGGGCUGGGCGUCAAGAAGCUCGGCCGGUCCAUCAACCAAGCUUCCAGGAUUCAGGAGAGGGGAAGAAAGGUGGAGUUACCGAACAUAAAUGGAGAAACGACGGUGGUCAUUUUCAAUGGUGUGGUGGUCGCGUCGGCUGAGGAGCGCAUUGAUACUUGUUGCAGCGGCGUGAUGCACUUCGGAGGAAAUUUCCAGCAGUUUUCUGGCGGUCGAAAAACGUGAAUCUCCUCUUCCCUUUUGAUGGAAUCUCAACUGUUUCAACAUCAAUAGUUCCUCUGUGAUGGAAAAACGGUUUUUCAAUUUCACUCACUGUGUCGUUGUUUCCCUCUACUGCUACCUUAAACUUUGCAUCUCUCAACUAAAGGUAAUCCCUUCCAUCCAUCUCGUCUUCAUCGAUCUGAUAUCCUCAAACCUAUAACUCUUUGUAUUUUGAUGUUAUCAAAAUUUGUAACAUGAAUCAGUAAUUCAUCUCUCAAAAUUUGUGCUUUUUUUGGGGGUUUUCUUUAUUUGGGGUUUAUUAUUAAUUCAUAUUGUUGGGUUGAUGCUAAUGUAAUCCCAUUUCAUUUGCUCAAUUGUUAAGUUGGAUAAUGUAAAGGCUUUAAUUUUAUUUGAUAUUAACUACUUUACACCUUAUAAUUUUACAGAUGUUGAAAGCAAUGUUAAAGAAUGGCCCAUGGUCAAUCAAUUAAAGACAUGAUAAAAGUGAAGAAAAUUGAGAGGACAUUCGAUCGUUUCAUGGAGUUCGUUGUUCACUUUAGUUCAUGCAUGCCUGUUCAGAUUUCGUUUUAAGCUUCGAUUCGCUACAAUUGUUUUUGAGGUAUAAACUCUGCCACUUCAAUCCUUUCUGUUUAGUUUAUUUUUUAUUUAUUUUUUUGCUUUGUUAUUUGCUUUAAGUUCAACGUUGUUCUAGCUUUUAGGGCAUAGGAAUUAUUUUUACUGAAUAAUUUGAUGAAUGAUUGCUUGUUUAGGUUCUAAUUAGUAGCUGAUUAUUGUAAAAUCAAUUUUGAAAAGAGCUUCAAAUGUUUGUACAUUCUAAUUUUGAAUAUAGAAUUUAUUUUUUCAUUCUUUGUGUGUAGCUGAUGAUUGAGGAUUGUAAAAUUCUUGAUCCUUAAGAUUUUGCUAUAACUAGAAAUAGGAAAAUAUUAAUUAUAAUGAUUAGGAAAAUAUUAAUUAUAGUGUAUGGGAUUCAAACUAAGAAGUUUCUGUUUAGAAAUCCGAUAAUUAAUUGAAAGUGUAACUUGAGAAGCUUUGUAUCUUGAUUUUGUAUGAUAAUGUAAUACAUUGCAUAUAAUAGUAGAUAGAUAGUUUUGCUGAUUAAGUUGGAUAUUUAUUGUUAAAUAUUGCUUCAGAUUGUAUUAAUAUUCACGCCAGAAAUCAAUGAUGCAAAGACCCAAGAGCUUGGUUUUAUGAGUCAUUUAUAGUAAUGUUUCAAAAUUUUAAUAAAUUAUUUUUUUUAAUUUGAUAGA
This is an RNA transcript of Vicia villosa (hairy vetch), 3372 nucleotides long. RefSeq lists it as uncharacterized. Lineage: Eukaryota; Viridiplantae; Streptophyta; Magnoliopsida; Fabales; Fabaceae. The record is from RefSeq and is a predicted model, not a curated record. The transcript has 3 exons.